This 801-nucleotide ribosomal RNA is filed under the name Triticum aestivum (bread wheat). Its description in RNAcentral is "partial small subunit ribosomal RNA". The record is from RNAcentral. Lineage: Eukaryota; Viridiplantae; Streptophyta; Magnoliopsida; Poales; Poaceae.
GUGAACCACGCGGCGCUGACCGCACUUGUGGAUCAUUGGAGGCCCGAGACUCACUCGUUCCACCUUCCAUGUGGGGAGAUGACAAUGACCCUAGAGGACAUGGCUAUGAUAAGCGGCCUUCCUAUCAACGGACAAGUUGUUACCGGCCGUGUCAGUGCCGUUAAUUGGCGAGAACGGACUGGCAAUUUAAUUGGUGUUGAGCCCGAUCCCCCUCUGCCAGGCAAGGCCAAUACCUCGAAAGUGAGGCAUUCUUGGCUAAAACAAGUCAGAGGAGAAAACAAUCCAUGCCCUCAGGGUGCCAAUGACGUGUUUGUGCAGCAGUACGCGCGGGCCUAUCUUUGGUAUGUACUAACCAAGGUAGUUUUCUCAGACGCAACUGGGAACUCAGCCCUCUGGAUGUUCCUGGAGCUACUCAAUAACUGGGAUACCCAGUAUAGCUGGGGUUCGGCCGCACUAGCAUACUUGUAUCGUCAGGUAAGAGAUAUUUGCAACCAUUUAUCUUGCAAUUGUCUUGCGCCUCCAUAUCUAACCUGUUUGUUUGACUGCAGCUUGACAUGGCGUGUCGCAGGCAAGGAGAUACAUCCUCAUUGGCUGGGUUUGUUUGGAGCCUAUCCGUGUGGAUGUGGGAGCGGAUCCCGGUUGGACGGCCCGAUUUCAAGAACCCCGAACACCCAAACCCACGGGGUAAUCAUGACGGGGCGCAUGAUGUUGAUCCAUAUCGGCGCCCUACGCUUGCGUACUAUUGGGAACGGGCGACCGUGUACACAGGAAGCUCGCAUGUGCGAUACAAGUGCUAUAUGA